RNAcentral lists this long non-coding RNA (630 nucleotides) under Cairina moschata (Muscovy duck). RNAcentral's name for it is "domestica (muscovy Duck (domestic type)) lncRNA (ENSCMMG00000003556.1)". The record is from RNAcentral. Lineage: Eukaryota; Metazoa; Chordata; Aves; Anseriformes; Anatidae.
AUGCAUAAAGCUGCACUAUUCGGAAGAAGCGAGAUUGUCUUUCCUCACAGCUACGGCGCUGCGCCACUCUCAACACAGCCUGCUUUUUCCCCCAUUUACCUGGGCGGCUGCUGCUGUUUCUGCUGCUGCUGGGGCUGCUGCAGUCUCGCUGCCUGUGCUUCACCCUGGUUUGGCUGACUUGAGACUCACUCGUCUGCACAUUGCUAAGGAAGAAGAGCGAUGAAGCCACAUUUUUUUCUGUUGGUUCUGGAAGCAAAGGGUUGUGCUUUGUGGUGGUUUCAGGGUUUUCUUUGUUUUUUGGGAGGGGGAAAGGAGGCAUGUUCAUCUAGGAUGGGGUGGGUGAAAGCUUAAAGAAAUAUGAUGUAAAGUAAUCCAGUGCUCAACAAGGGCAUCAGCAGCAAGAAUCCAGCCUCUGCUGCUCCAGAGGAUUAACAUGGGGAAAGCCACAGAGCUGCAAUCGGGUUUCACCUCAGCGUUGUGCUGGAGAUGGAUAAAUAAGGUAUUGGUUGUGUCUGCCUGUUAAGGCAAAGCCACGGGAGGAAGAGCGAGAGAGCGAGUGAAAAUGUAGAGGAAGAAGAAAUGCUGUGUGCUGUUUGUCUGAUCUGUGCAUUCUCAUUGCAGAGAGGAUGG